This 254-nucleotide ribosomal RNA is filed under the name uncultured Acidobacteriota bacterium. Its description in RNAcentral is "uncultured Acidobacteria bacterium partial 16S ribosomal RNA". It matches the Rfam family "Bacterial small subunit ribosomal RNA", at positions 524 to 776 of the family's 1533-position model. The record is from RNAcentral. Lineage: Bacteria; Pseudomonadati; Acidobacteriota.
UACGGGGGGGGGCAAGCGUUGUUCGGAAUUACUGGGCGUAAAGGGCUCGUAGGCGGCCGACUCAGUCAGACGUGAAAUCCCUCGGCUUAACCGGGGAACUGCGUCUGAUACUGGAUGGCUUGAGUCCGGGAGAGGGAUGCGGAAUUCCAGGUGUAGCGGUGAAAUGCGUAGAUAUCUGGAGGAACACCGGUGGCGAAGGCGGCAUCCUGGACCGGCACUGACGCUGAUGAGCGAAAGCCAGGGGAGCAAACGGG